GGGUUCAACAUAACAUUUGAUUAGCACGGACUGAAGCGAUCUUUAGAAAUACUACGAGGGAUGAAAUAGUUCAAAUAUAGACGAUUCAGCGUGAAAUUAUUGUCAACAAACCCACGUGGAGUACAAAUGAUUUACAAUGGUUGACUGGAAGUGACAGGCCUUCUCUUCAAAAUAAACAAGAUGUGUCCCUGCUACGGAGGCACCUAACAGAAAGUGGAUAUAAUUAAGAUUGCAUUGUGGAUUUGCCCUGUGCCACCUCUAAAUGGCAGAAGAAAACUCAACUCAGCACAACCAGAAACACUUUUCUGAAGAAAAUUCUGCCAAGAGACAGUUGUGAAGGGAAUCGUGUAGAUAAUCUCCAGAAAAGAAAUCACCACUGAUAUUAGGAUGUAUGUAACAAUAUUUUAAUACAAUCAUCAAAGACAAAUUUACCACAGGAAUAAAAACAAAACUGUCUGGCAUUCAAGGGCCUGCCAUGGUAGAAGCUCUCCUGAAAAAAUAUUCCAUUUAUUGUGGACAUCAUGACACAGGGCUCACCUGUCAUCAGCAUUAGAGACUUGUGUGAUUUGUUCUACCUGGGCCAUACACCCUUACCAAAAUAUUGACCUUCUGGCAACAUCUUCUGGCUUUAUUGCCGCAAUAUUGCAGCAACAUUCUGGCAAUACAUUGCCGCAAUAUUGCGGCUAUAUCGUUUUUCGUAUGUAAAUUAGUUUUGCGGCAAUAUUGCCAGAAAGGGGUUGCGGCAAUAUUGCUGCAAAUCAUGACCAAAAUAUAGAUCUUCUGGCAACAUCUUCCGGCAUUAUUGCCGCAAUAUUGCGGCUAUAUCGUUUUUCAUAUGUUAAUUAGUUUUGCGGCAAUAUUGCCAGAAAGGUGUUGCGGCAAUAUUGCUGCAAAUCAUGACCAAAAUAUUGAUCUUCUGGCAACAUCUUCCGGCAUUAUUGACGCAAUAUUGCGGCAAUAUCGUUUUUCUAAUGUAAGUUAGAUAUAAAUUGGUAUUUAAUAGAAAUAUAAUGAUCUAUCAAUCUAACAAUUAACAAACUGUGCUGAGGAAUAUAACAAACAAUAGCAAGCCACAGGGUCAAUAAGAAAUAGCUACAAGUGUACUUCUGCUAUUCUUUGAACAGAUAUAAAAUUAUGUUGAUUUUUUUUUUUUGAUUUAUGUUUGUGAAACACUGUGCGCCUGGUGGCAAUAAAGUUUGAAAAAGCUAUUUAUAGCAUAUGGGUCACAGUCAAGGUCACAAAGUCAUUGAUCUUAGUGUCAUUUGAAAGAACUUAAUUAGUAGAGAAUGCAUACUAAAUAUGAAGUCUCUAUCUCUUAUAGUUCAAAAUUUAUGGCAGAGGAUCAAAAUGGCUAUUUUUAGCAUAUGGGUCACAGUAAAGGUCAAAUUGUCAUUGACCUUGGUGUUACUUGAAAGAGUUUAAUUAGUGAAGGGUGCAUACCAAAUAUGAAUUCUCCAUAUUUUAUGACUCAAAAGUUAUGUCGAAGUUUCAAAAAAUCUAUUUUAAGUAUAUGGUCAAGGUGCCAAGGUCAUUGACCUUGGUGUUAUUUGAAAGAGUUUAAUUAAUGAAGGGUGCAUACAUAAUACAAGUUCUCUAUCUUUUAUGGCUCAAGAUUUAUGUCCAAGAUUCAAAAAAUCUAUUUUAAGCAUAUGGGUGACAGCCAAGGUCUCAAGGUCAUUGACCUUCAGGUGUCUUUUGAAAAAGCUUAAUUAGUGAAUUAUGCAUACUAAAUAUAAAGUGGACUCUAUCUUUCAUUUAUUUUAAGUUAUGAUGAAUAUUUGAAAAAGCUAUAUUUAGCAUAUAGGUCACAGUCAAGGUCACAUGGUCAUUGACCUUGAUGUCAUUUGAAAGAACUUAAUUAGUGGAGUAGACAUACCAAAUAUGAAAUCUUUAUCUCUCAUUGGUUCAAAAGUAAUGGUGAAGGUUAAGUUUACAAACAAACGGACAGGACAAAAACAAUAUGUACCCCCGAUCUAUCGAGAUGGGCGCAUGAAAAAUGUUUAUAGAAACAAUAUUAAUAUGCCACUGUGAAAAUGUCCAGCAACUCGAUCUGCAUUAAUUUUCAAAUAACAUGCUUUAAUUCAUCUUUUCCUGCUACUCUAGGAUAUAUAGACAUACAAGUCUAGUAUGCAUGCAUCACAAGCACUAAUUGAAACACAUAUAAUUUUUCCACUUUUAUCUCCAUUGAAUCAUUCAUCUCAAAAAGAAUAUUGGUUUUGACUCACCAAGUCUGAUGAUAUGGAAACAGAGUACACAUUCCUAUAAUUCUGCUUAAAUUCUUCUUUCUAGUCAUUCCACACUAUGCAGUCUUACUACUCAUCUUGACUAAUCCCACUGUACACAAUUAACAACUCUAAUCAACUUGAUACAAGUCAGUAAUGAAGCAAAACAUGCUUGCCUUUGAAUUCCCUCCACUUAAAUUAAAAAGAGGAAGUAAAUGACUGAGCAUGCUCAACAAAUGUCUCAUGGGUAAUCCUAGAUGUUGCCAGAAAGUUUUUUUCUGGCAGUAUUGCCAGAAUGUCACCGGAAGUUGUUGCAACUAGCGGUGAUAUUUCAUUUUUUCUGGCAGUAUUGCCAGAAUGUCACCAGAAGUUGUUGCCGCUAGCGGUGAUAUUUCACUA
This is a long non-coding RNA of Saccostrea cuccullata (small rock oyster), 2621 nucleotides long. RefSeq lists it as uncharacterized. Lineage: Eukaryota; Metazoa; Mollusca; Bivalvia; Ostreida; Ostreidae. The record is from RefSeq and is a predicted model, not a curated record. The transcript is spliced from 4 exons.